GAAAGAUGGUUCUACUAUCACUCUUGGAUGGACCUGCGGUGCAUUAGCUAGUUGGUAAGGUAACGGCUUACCAAGGCAAUGAUGCAUAGCCGAGUUGAGAGACUGAUCGGCCACAUUGGGACUGAGACACGGCCCAAACUCCUACGGGAGGCAGCAGUAGGGAAUCUUCCACAAUGGACGAAAGUCUGAUGGAGCAACGCCGCGUGAGUGAAGAAGGGUUUCGGCUCGUAAAGCUCUGUUGGUAGUGAAGAAAGAUAGAGGUAGUAACUGGCCUUUAUUGACGGUAAUUACUUAGAAAGUCACGGCUAACUACGUGCCAGCAGCCGCGGUAAUACGUAGGUGGCAAGCGUUGUCCGGAUUUAUUGGGCGUAAAGCGAGUGCAGGCGGUUCAAUAAGUCUGAUGUGAAAGCCUUCGGCUCAACCGGAGAAUUGCAUCAGAAACUGUUGAACUUGAGUGCAGAAGAGGAGAGUGGAACUCCAUGUGUAGCGGUGGAAUGCGUAGAUAUAUGGAAGAACACCAGUGGCGAAGGCGGCUCUCUGGUCUGCAACUGACGCUGAGGCUCGAAAGCAUGGGUAGCGAACAGGAUUAGAUACCCUGGUAGUCCAUGCCGUAAACGAUGAGUGCUAAGUGUUGGGAGGUUUCCGCCUCUCA
RNAcentral lists this ribosomal RNA (652 nucleotides) under uncultured bacterium. RNAcentral describes it as "bacterial SSU rRNA". It matches the Rfam family "Bacterial small subunit ribosomal RNA", at positions 202 to 842 of the family's 1533-position model. The record is from RNAcentral.